GAUCAUGGCUCAGGAUGAACGCUAGCUACAGGCUUAACACAUGCAAGUCGAGGGGCAGCAUGGUCUUAGCUUGCUAAGGCCGAUGGCGACCGGCGCACGGGUGAGUAACACGUAUCCAACCUGCCGUCGUACUCUUGGACAGCCUUCUGAAAGGAAGAUUAAUACAGAUGGCAUCAUGAGUUCGCAUGUUCACAUGAUUAAAGGGUAUUCCCGGGUAGACGAUUGGGGG
RNAcentral lists this ribosomal RNA (229 nucleotides) under uncultured bacterium. RNAcentral's name for it is "partial 16S ribosomal RNA". It matches the Rfam family "Bacterial small subunit ribosomal RNA", at positions 15 to 231 of the family's 1533-position model. The record is from RNAcentral.